GCAGUAGUAGUUCAGUGUAAGAACGUCGGUCUUGUAAGCCGAAUGUCGGAGGUUAAAAUCCCCCCUGAUGCU
Molecule: transfer RNA, 72 nt
Filed under: Pseudogramma paucilepis (Weakscaled podge)
Lineage: Eukaryota; Metazoa; Chordata; Actinopteri; Perciformes; Serranidae
Description: tRNA-Thr
Rfam family: tRNA
About the family: Transfer RNA (tRNA) molecules are approximately 80 nucleotides in length. Their secondary structure includes four short double-helical elements and three loops (D, anti-codon, and T loops).
Source: RNAcentral